CAACCCUAGAGAUAGGGCUUUCCCUUCGGGGACAGAGUGACAGGUGGUGCAUGGUUGUCGUCAGCUCGUGUCGUGAGAUGUUGGGUUAAGUCCCGCAACGAGCGCAACCCUUGAUCUUAGUUGCCAGCAUUCAGUUGGGCACUCUAAGGUGACUGCCGGUGACAAACCGGAGGAAGGUGGGGAUGACGUCAAAUCAUCAUGCCCCUUAUGACCUGGGCUACACACGUGCUACAAUGGACAGAACAAAGGGCUGCGAGACCGCAAGGUUUAGCCAAUCCCACAAAUCUGUUCUCAGUUCGGAUCGCAGUCUGCAACUCGACUGCGUGAAGCUGGAAUCGCUAGUAAUCGCGGAUCAGCAUGCCGCGGUGAAUACGUUCCCGGGCCUUGUACACACCGCCCGUCACACCACGAGAGUUUGCAACACCCGAAGUCGGUGAGGUAACCUUUAUGGAGCCAGCCGCCCGAAAAGGGGGGGCCGU
RNAcentral lists this ribosomal RNA (479 nucleotides) under Bacillus sp. CLRI-BT 2010. RNAcentral's name for it is "bacterial SSU rRNA". It matches the Rfam family "Bacterial small subunit ribosomal RNA", at positions 995 to 1471 of the family's 1533-position model. Lineage: Bacteria; Bacillati; Bacillota; Bacilli; Caryophanales; Bacillaceae. The record is from RNAcentral.